AGAUUGAACGCUGGCGGCAGGCCUAACACAUGCAAGUCGAGCGGCAGCACGGGUACUUGUACCUGGUGGCGAGCGGCGGACGGGUGAGUAAUGCCUAGGAAUCUGCCUGAUAGUGGGGGAUAACGUUCGGAAACGGACGCUAAUACCGCAUACGUCCUACGGGAGAAAGUGGGGGAUCUUCGGACCUCACGCUAUCAGAUGAGCCUAGGUCGGAUUAGCUAGUUGGUAGGGUAAAGGCCUACCAAGGCUACGAUCCGUAACUGGUCUGAGAGGAUGAUCAGUCACACUGGAACUGAGACACGGUCCAGACUCCGUACGGGAGGCAGCAGUGGGGAAUAUUGGACAAUGGGACGCAAGCCUGAUCCAGCCAAUCGCCGCGUGUGGUAGAAGGAAGGCCGUUCGGUUAGUAAAGUACGUACUUUUAGUACCGGUAAAGAAAAGACGUAACGGUUAACUACCGU
Molecule: ribosomal RNA, 461 nt
Filed under: uncultured soil bacterium
Lineage: Bacteria
Description: bacterial SSU rRNA
Rfam family: Bacterial small subunit ribosomal RNA
Source: RNAcentral